GUUCCCCUCCCCCAUCCCCGGUCUGCAGAUUCUGCCUAAGGAGGGUGCAGAGUGGACACUCCCAGGUGUCCAAGCCGGCGAGCUCGGGUCCCGCAGAACCGGCGGCCCUGGAGACGCCCCGAGGGCAGCCCCGCUGCAGCCUUGCUCGGGUCCCCUAGCCCGGCGCCUCCGCAAACCAACCCACCGCGGGCCGCCGAGCCCCGCUCCGGGAUCCGCCGGCUGCCUCCAUCCCAGAAGAGUGCGCAGAGAAUUAAAUCUAGAUAUUUACAUGU
Molecule: long non-coding RNA, 272 nt
Organism: Homo sapiens (human)
Lineage: Eukaryota; Metazoa; Chordata; Mammalia; Primates; Hominidae
Source: Ensembl